UACGUAGGGUGCGAGCGUUGCCCGGAUUUAUUGGGCGUAAAGGGCGCGUAGGCGGCUCUGCACGUCCGUUGUGAAAUCGCCCGGCUCAACUGGGCGGGGUCAGCGGAUACGGCGGAGCUUGAGCAAGCUAGGGGGCAAUGGAAUUCCCGGUGUAGUGGUGGAAUGCGUAGAUAUCGGGAGGAACACCAGUGGCGAAGGCGGCAUCCUGGACCGGUAUUGACGCUGAGGCGCGAAAGCCAGGGGAGCAAACGGG
RNAcentral lists this ribosomal RNA (253 nucleotides) under uncultured bacterium. RNAcentral describes it as "partial 16S ribosomal RNA". It matches the Rfam family "Bacterial small subunit ribosomal RNA", at positions 524 to 776 of the family's 1533-position model. The record is from RNAcentral.